AGUCAGGAGGCUGCCCCUGGGUGUGGCGGCUGCGGGGAGGAAUGAAGGAUUUCUCCAUCCUCUUGGAGGUUGAUCAGUAGGACUUCCUGUUGGGUUCAACAAGAUUGGUAAGAAAAAGAAGAAUCAGCAUGACUCUUAGGUUUCUGGUUUAAGAGACUGAUUCAUGGUGGCGUCACUUAGUAAUCCGGGAAAAUCUGAGAGGUGAGUAUAUUUGUAGGGGUGAGUGAGAAUCCAUUUCAUUUUGGAGCUGAGUUUUAGAUGUUUGUGAGACAGCCAAAUGGAGCCAUCCAAUGGGAAGUUGGAAUACGCACCUGAAACUUGGGCAGAUGUGUAGAGGUAGGGAUUUGGGAAUCAUCAACAUACAGAUGGCCUUUAGAGCCACAGGCAUGAAAAAGGUCUCUAGGAGGAUGUGGUAAAAAAACAGGAGGGCAGAAGGCCCUUCACCCCAGUUCCUCCCCUCAAGUCUUCUACACAUGUCCUAGUCCUUCAUUCUUUAGGCUUCAUGUGCAGAGGAUACAGUCCACUUCUGCCCUCUCACAUGGAGUCUGAUGGCCCCUCAGCAAGUUGGCCAACUGUGGUCACCCUCUCAGAAAGCCCAACCCCCAUGCCUUUAUCUUCUAUACCUUUCAGAUAAGAUUCCUGCCCCCUCCCCACCCACUCUCUAGGUCACCAAAUGAUCUUCAUGGCAAGAGAAAAGGAAGGAAGGAAGAAACCCUAAACAACACUGCCAUCAUCACCCAGCCAAGCAGCUAAACCAAUAAGCAAAACUACAGCAUGAGCUUUCAGAGAGAUUACCCUGCUGGCCAAGUCUUGGAAGAUAAUUUGCUGUCCUGCGAUUUGCCUUUGGGGUGAAUCAUGCUUCCAGACUGCUCUCUUUUGACUUAGCAGUUAGUUUGUCAGCGUAUAGCCUGGAUCACACGGAAGGCUGGAAUAAGAGAAUUUUACCAGGACCACUCUUUGAUGAGCAUAUGCUCCAUUGACAAUGGAUCCUAAAGGGAAAAUGAGUCCCGAAGCCAAUAUGCACCUGUAAAGACACCACAUGUUUUUCAGUGUGGUGUGUGAGUUUCAGAGACCCCAUUGUGUAAUUCUCCACUCCUUUUAUGUUAAAGGGUGAGGAUCUUCUCUUAUCUCUGUAUGAAUAUUCCCUAUUCCUGGCAGAUUCCCCCUCUUACCUGCUGCCUCCCACAGCUCCCAGACUAUGCCAGGAGCUAAUUCCUGUACCAGAAAGAAGCAAACAGGAAGUGCCCUCUUUACGGCUGUAGAUAACCCGCAGCAUUGAGGUUUCCUUUCGGUGUUUUGCACCUCUGCUUCAGUUCAUUUUGCCCUGCCCCUUUCCUUCCGGUGCAGCAUCAGGCCACUUUUCUGGCCUUUCUCUGCAGUUCUUAAGGCCACAUGUUUCUCAUCUUCCCACUAUUUUCCUUGACCAAUCAUUUUAUGUGCUGCUCAUACAAGUGAUGUGAUUCGCAACUUUGCCCUGAAGCUCAAUUUGUUCAUGCAUCUGGGCUCCCGGCUCCUCAUCAGGUUUGCAAACCUGCUGUGCAACCCAGACCCAUAACUUCCGCAUGUGCUUUGUUCCCCCAGCUCCAGCUUGUGGCCUAUCUUUGUACUAAGCCACCACCCCCACAGUUCCUCUGCUGACAUAUAGUGUGCACAUGAAAAACUGCUUUUUGUUUCAUGACUGCUUUAAAUACCUGGAUCCUGUGAUCCUGUGCUUGUGUCUCUGUGCCUCCUUACUUAUGUAUUUUAUGACAUUUUGACUCACCCAAAACUACUCCAUCUCUGCUCCCCACUGAAAGGGUCUGCCUUCUGCAGCUCUUCCCUAGGGGUCAGCAUUUAUGUGUAUCACUACUCCUAAGCAGGGUUACCCUUUUUUUUUUUUUCUGAGAUGGAGUUUCACUCUUGUUGCCCAGGCUGGAGUGCAAUGGCAUGAUCUUGGCUCACUGCAACGUCCGCCUCGAGGGUUCAAGUGAUUUCCCUGCCUCAGCCUCCUGAGUAGGUGGGAUUACAGGUGUGUGCCACCACGCCUGGCUAAUUUUUGUGUUUUUAGUAGAGACAGGGUUUCACC
RNAcentral lists this long non-coding RNA (2065 nucleotides) under Homo sapiens (human). Its description in RNAcentral is "HSALNT0347434". The record is from RNAcentral. Lineage: Eukaryota; Metazoa; Chordata; Mammalia; Primates; Hominidae.